CAAUAGCGUAUAUUAAAGUUGUUGCAGUUAAAAAGCUCGUAGUUGGAUUUGUGGCGUACGGUGUGUUCCGGACACUUGUUGUCUGAGUAACCUGCUGUUGCCAUCCUUGGGUGGAACCUGUGUGGCAUUAGGUUGUCGUGCAGGGGAUGCCCAUCAUUUACUGUGAAAAAAUUAGAGUGUUCAAAGCAGGCUUAUGCCGUUGAAUAUAUUAGCAUGGAAUAAUGAGAUAGGACUUUUUUGCUAUUUUGUUGGUUUGCGCAAAGAGGUAAUGAUUAAUAGGGACAGUUGGGGGUAUUCGUAUUCCAUUGUCAGAGGUGAAAUUCUUGGAUUUUUGGAAGACGAACUACUGCGAAAGCAUUUACCAAGGAUGUUUUCAUUAA
RNAcentral lists this ribosomal RNA (380 nucleotides) under uncultured eukaryote. RNAcentral's name for it is "partial 18S ribosomal RNA". It matches the Rfam family "Eukaryotic small subunit ribosomal RNA", at positions 592 to 976 of the family's 1831-position model. The record is from RNAcentral.